This 859-nucleotide ribosomal RNA is filed under the name uncultured bacterium. RNAcentral's name for it is "bacterial SSU rRNA". It matches the Rfam family "Bacterial small subunit ribosomal RNA", at positions 43 to 900 of the family's 1533-position model. The record is from RNAcentral.
CAGGCCUAACACAUGCAAGUCGAGCGGUAACAGGGGUAGCUUGCUACCCGCUGACGAGCGGCGGACGGGUGAGUAAUGCAUAGGAAUUUACCCGAUAGUGGGGGAUAACCUGGGGAAACCCAGGCUAAUACCGCAUACGUCCUACGGGAGAAAGGGGGCUUCGGCUCCCGCUAUCGGAUGAGCCUAUGCCGGAUUAGCUGGUUGGUGAGGUAAUGGCUCACCAAGGCGACGAUCCGUAGCUGGUCUGAGAGGAUGAUCAGCCACAUCGGGACUGAGACACGGCCCGAACUCCUACGGGAGGCAGCAGUGGGGAAUAUUGGACAAUGGGCGCAAGCCUGAUCCAGCCAUGCCGCGUGUGUGAAGAAGGCCCUCGGGUUGUAAAGCACUUUCAGCGAGGAAGAACGCCUGGCGGUUAAUACCCGCCAGGAAAGACAUCACUCGCAGAAGAAGCACCGGCUAACUCCGUGCCAGCAGCCGCGGUAAUACGGAGGGUGCAAGCGUUAAUCGGAAUUACUGGGCGUAAAGCGCGCGUAGGUGGCUUGAUAAGCCGGUUGUGAAAGCCCCGGGCUCAACCUGGGAACGGCAUCCGGAACUGUCAGGCUAGAGUGCAGGAGAGGAAGGUAGAAUUCCCGGUGUAGCGGUGAAAUGCGUAGAGAUCGGGAGGAAUACCAGUGGCGAAGGCGGCCUUCUGGACUGACACUGACACUGAGGUGCGAAAGCGUGGGUAGCAAACAGGAUUAGAUACCCUGGUAGUCCACGCCGUAAACGAUGUCGACCAGCCGUUGGGUGCCUAGCGCACUUUGUGGCGAAGUUAACGCGAUAAGUCGACCGCCUGGGGAGUCGGCCGCAAGGUUAAAAC